GCCAGGCGUGGUGGCUCACACCUGUAAUCCCAGCAUUUUGGGAGGCUGAGGUGGGUGGAUCACCUGAGGUCAGGAGUUCGAGAACCGCCUGGCCAACCUGGUGAGAACCUAUCUCUA
Pongo abelii (Sumatran orangutan) is the source of this 117-nucleotide unclassified non-coding RNA. It matches the Rfam family "Metazoan signal recognition particle RNA". Rfam says of the family: The signal recognition particle (SRP) is a universally conserved ribonucleoprotein. It is involved in the co-translational targeting of proteins to membranes. The record is from Ensembl. Lineage: Eukaryota; Metazoa; Chordata; Mammalia; Primates; Hominidae.